UUACAAGUCAUAUGGAUUCCUACGGGAGGCAGCAGUGGGGAAUAUUGCGCAAUGGCCGCAAGGCUGACGCAGCGACGCCGCGUGUGGGAUGACGGCCUUCGGGUUGUAAACCACUGUCAGGGGGGACGAAUACUCGGCUUGACCGAGGGUGACGGUACCUCCAAAGGAAGCACCGGCUAACUCCGUGCCAGCAGCCGCGGUAAUACGGAGGGUGCGAGCGUUGUCCGGAAUCACUGGGCGUAAAGGGCGCGUAGGCGGUUCGUUAAGUCUGCCGUGAAAGCCCCGGGCUCAACCUGGGAAUUGCGGUGGAUACUGGCGGGCUAGAGUGCGGUAGAGGGUAGUGGAAUUCCCGGUGUAGCAGUGAAAUGCGUAGAGAUCGGGAGGAACAUCAGUUGCGAAGGCGGCUACCUGGACCAGCACUGACACUGAGGCACGAAAGCGUGGGGAGCAAACAGGAUUAGAUACCCUGGUAGUCCACGCCCUAAACGAUGCGAACUGGACGUUGGGCUCAAUUGAGAGUUCAGUGUCGAAGCUAACGCGUUAAGUUCGCCGCCUGGGGAGUACGG
Molecule: ribosomal RNA, 566 nt
Filed under: uncultured Gammaproteobacteria bacterium
Lineage: Bacteria; Pseudomonadati; Pseudomonadota; Gammaproteobacteria
Description: bacterial SSU rRNA
Rfam family: Bacterial small subunit ribosomal RNA
Source: RNAcentral